Molecule: non-coding RNA, 126 nt
Filed under: Oryctolagus cuniculus (rabbit)
Lineage: Eukaryota; Metazoa; Chordata; Mammalia; Lagomorpha; Leporidae
Description: Eukaryotic large subunit ribosomal RNA
Rfam family: Eukaryotic large subunit ribosomal RNA
Source: Rfam by way of RNAcentral
ACUGGCCAAGUGUUCAUAGUGAUGUUGCCUUUUGAUCCUUCCAUGUCAGCUCUUCAUAUCAUUGUGAAUCAGAAUUCACCAAGUGUUGGAUUGCUUACCCACUAAUCUUUUGAGUUUUAAGCAGGA